UACGUAGGGGGCUAGCGUUGUCCGGAAUCAUUGGGCGUAAAGCGCGUGUAGGCGGUCCGGUAAGUCCGCUGUGAAAGUCGGGGGCUCAACCCUCGGAUGCCGGUGGAUACUGUCGGGCUUGAGUACGGAAGAGGCGAGUGGAAUUCCUGGUGUAGCGGUGAAAUGCGCAGAUAUCAGGAGGAACACCGGUGGCGAAAGCGCUCAUCUGGCCCGAUACUGACGCUGAAGCACGAAAGCUAGGGGAGCAAACGGG
This 253-nucleotide ribosomal RNA is filed under the name uncultured bacterium. RNAcentral describes it as "partial 16S ribosomal RNA". It matches the Rfam family "Bacterial small subunit ribosomal RNA", at positions 524 to 776 of the family's 1533-position model. The record is from RNAcentral.